UUAAUUAAAACCAAAAUGAGGUAAAUUAUUGUUAAUAAUUUUAAUGAAAAAAAAUUCUAAUUAAU
RNAcentral lists this transfer RNA (65 nucleotides) under Aegilips sp. ZJUH 20220002. RNAcentral's name for it is "tRNA-Asn". The record is from RNAcentral. Lineage: Eukaryota; Metazoa; Arthropoda; Insecta; Hymenoptera; Figitidae.